CCUACGGGCGGCAGCAGUGAGGAAUAUUGGUCAAUGGGGGAAACCCUGAACCAGCAACGCCGCGUGAGGGAAGACGGUUUUCCGGUUGUAAACCUCUGUCCUCUGUGGAGUUAAGGACGGUAGGAGAGGAGGAAGGUACGGAUAACUACGAGCCAGCAGCCGCGGUAAUACGUAGGGAGCAGGCGUUAUCCGGAUUUACUGGGUGUAAAGGGGGCGUAGGGGGGGCUGCAAGUCUGAAGUGCAGUCCUUGGGCUCAACCCGUGAGUUGCUUUUGAAACUGUAGGCCUUGAGUGCAGAUGAGGCAGGCGGAAUUCCCGGUGUAGCGGUGAAAUGCGUAGAGAUCGGGAGCACCGCCAGUGGCGAAGGCGUCCUGCUGGGCUUUAACUGACGCUGAUGCACGAAAGCGUGGGUAGCAAACAGGAUUAGAUACCCGUGUAGUC
RNAcentral lists this ribosomal RNA (440 nucleotides) under uncultured bacterium. RNAcentral describes it as "partial 16S ribosomal RNA". It matches the Rfam family "Bacterial small subunit ribosomal RNA", at positions 338 to 795 of the family's 1533-position model. The record is from RNAcentral.